AGCUUUGCGUAGUGGCAGUACUGUCGCCAUAGACUUAUCCGAGGUGUGAUUAUUGCUAAUUGAAAACUUUUCCAAAUAUCCCAUCAUGAUGACUUGAAAUACAGUCAGCAUUGGCAAAUUUUGACAUCUCAUGGAGACUGAG
Small nuclear RNA from Dasypus novemcinctus (nine-banded armadillo), 142 nucleotides. Its record names the gene U4. It matches the Rfam family "U4 spliceosomal RNA". Rfam says of the family: U4 small nuclear RNA (U4 snRNA) is a component of the major U2-dependent spliceosome. NCBI's taxonomy places the organism in Eukaryota, Metazoa, Chordata, Mammalia, Cingulata, Dasypodidae. The record is from Ensembl.